RNAcentral lists this ribosomal RNA (222 nucleotides) under Aspergillus parvulus. RNAcentral's name for it is "partial 28S ribosomal RNA". It matches the Rfam family "Eukaryotic large subunit ribosomal RNA", at positions 1 to 214 of the family's 3401-position model. Lineage: Eukaryota; Fungi; Ascomycota; Eurotiomycetes; Eurotiales; Aspergillaceae. The record is from RNAcentral.
UUUAAGGUUGACCUCGGAUCAGGUAGGGAUACCCGCUGAACUUAAGCAUAUCAAUAAGCGGAGGAAAAGAAACCAACCGGGAUUGCCUCAGUAACGGCGAGUGAAGCGGCAAGAGCUCAAAUUUGAAAUCUGGCCCCUUCGGGGUCCGAGUUGUAAUUUGCAGAGGAUGCUUCGGAUGCGGCCCCUGUCUAAGUGCCCUGGAACGGGCCGUCGGAGAGGGUG